GACAUGUCUUCAUUAAUAUAUAUUAAUUAAAUUUUAGUUUGUUAUUUCAAUAUACGUGUUUUUGUUUUGAUUUUUUGUCAUUUGAAGGCAUUUCUUUUAAUAACUAUAGAUUUACACAUAUUUCAGGAAUAAUGUUUGCAAAAUUUUGCUUGGUUCUACUGGUUGUGUGUCUAAGUGUUGGAUCUGUUUAGGCAAAUCCUACCGGAACGAAUUACUGCCAAAUGGUGACUCGUCUGCUUGUGCUAUGUAUUGUUUUACUGUUUGGCAGUCACGUGGUUGGUGUGGUUCAGAUAACAUAUGCCACUGUGAUCACUAAUCACGUGGCAAAUAGUCUUCGUGACAACCUGGAAAGGAAAUAAACCAGAACAGAUUUCAUUAACUGUAGCAAAUAAUGAAGAAAUAAAGUUUUCAUACAGCCUA
Long non-coding RNA from Mercenaria mercenaria, 420 nucleotides. RefSeq lists it as uncharacterized. The record is from RefSeq and is a predicted model, not a curated record. The transcript has 3 exons. NCBI's taxonomy places the organism in Eukaryota, Metazoa, Mollusca, Bivalvia, Venerida, Veneridae.